Molecule: ribosomal RNA, 763 nt
Filed under: uncultured bacterium
Lineage: Bacteria
Description: bacterial SSU rRNA
Rfam family: Bacterial small subunit ribosomal RNA
Source: RNAcentral
CUUAGAGUUUGAUCCUGGCUCAGGAUGAACGCUGGCGGUAUGCUUAACACAUGCAAGUCGAACGGUGUCUUCGGACAUAGUGGCGGACGGGUGAGUAACGCGUGAGAAUCUAGCUUCAGGUCUGGGACAACCACUGGAAACGGUGGCUAAUACCGGAUGUGCCGGAAGGUGAAAGGCUUGCUGCCUGAAGAUGAGCUCGCGUCCGAUUAGCUAGUAGGUGGGGUAAGAGCCUACCUAGGCGACGAUCGGUAGCUGGUCUGAGAGGAUGACCAGCCACACUGGGACUGAGACACGGCCCAGACUCCUACGGGAGGCAGCAGUGGGGAAUUUUCCGCAAUGGGCGAAAGCCUGACGGAGCAAUACCGCGUGAGGGAGGAAGGCUCUUGGGUUGUAAACCUCUUUUCUCAGGGAAGAACACAAUGACGGUACCUGAGGAAUCAGCAUCGGCUAACUCCGUGCCAGCAGCCGCGGUAAUACGGAGGAUGCAAGCGUUAUCCGGAAUGAUUGGGCGUAAAGCGUCCGCAGGUGGCUGUGUAAGUCUGCUGUCAAAGAGCAAAGCUCAACUUUGUAAAGGCAGUGGAAACUACACGGCUAGAGUGCGUUCGGGGCAGAGGGAAUUCCUGGUGUAGCGGUGAAAUGCGUAGAGAUCAGGAAGAACACCGGUGGCGAAGGCGCUCUGCUAGGCCGCAACUGACACUGAGGGACGAAAGCUAGGGGAGCGAAUGGGAUUAGAUACCCCAGUAGUCCUAGCUGUAAACGAUGG